UGGGGAAUAUUGCGCAAUGGGCGAAAGCCUGACGCAGCAACGCCGCGUGAGGGAUGACGGCCUUCGGGUUGUAAACCUCUUUCAGCAGGGAAGAAGCGAAAGUGACGGUACCUGCAGAAGAAGCACCGGCUAACUACGUGCCAGCAGCCGCGGUAAUACGUAGGGUGCAAGCGUUGUCCGGAUUUAUUGGGCGUAAAGAGCUCGUAGGCGGUUAGUCACGUCGGAUGUGAAAACCCGGAGCUUAACUCCGGGCCUGCAUUCGAUACGGGCUGACUAGAGUGUUGUAGGGGAGACUGGAACUCCUGGUGUAGCGGUGAAAUGCGCAGAUAUCAGGAAGAACACCGGUGGCGAAGGCGGGUCUCUGGGCAACUACUGACGCUGAGGAGCGAAAGCGUGGGGAGCAAACA
Molecule: ribosomal RNA, 407 nt
Filed under: uncultured bacterium
Lineage: Bacteria
Also listed under: 1 other name
Description: bacterial SSU rRNA
Rfam family: Bacterial small subunit ribosomal RNA
Source: RNAcentral